AAAGGAAUUGUUUAUUGAUUCUGAAUAACCGAACAAAAAGGCUAGAAAAUACUAUUUGAGUUUUGUAUAUCUUAAUUUUUUAUUAAAUAGU
This 91-nucleotide transfer RNA is filed under the name Ampelocera edentula. RNAcentral describes it as "tRNA-Leu". Lineage: Eukaryota; Viridiplantae; Streptophyta; Magnoliopsida; Rosales; Ulmaceae. The record is from RNAcentral.